Molecule: non-coding RNA, 53 nt
Filed under: Paramuricea clavata
Lineage: Eukaryota; Metazoa; Cnidaria; Anthozoa; Malacalcyonacea; Plexauridae
Source: RNAcentral
UCCCUGCUGACGAGUCCAUGAGACCAUGAAGGACGAAACGCCGCGUACAGGGA